UUUGGGAGGAUUGAUGCAAGAAAGGCAAGAGACGAGGCUUGAUGUCGUCGGAGACGGAGAUGGGCUUGGAGUUGGCCUCUGUGAGCAACCGCGAGUUCUCCUUGAGGUCACCGAACAGGAAGGUGUAGGGUUUGCCGGAGAGGCCCUGCUGUCUCAGGAGCCUCUCGAGCCUUUUCGGCCUCAGCCACACCCAGUUCACCACCCUCCAUGCCCAUGUGGUCAGAACGGCCAGAACCGUUGCUAGUGCAAUUGACUGGAUCGAUGCCUCCAUCUUUUCUUCUGCGUGUGCGUAUAUAUUUGUCCGUAUGCUGUGAGCGAGAGACUUCAAGGGCGAUUGUGUGGUGUGGUGUUUAUAUAGCCAUAGCACAUACAGAGCCGUGUGUCUGUUGGCCAAGAAGCUUCUUGACCGUGACCAGAGUUGGAAUCAAAAAUGAAAGAAAAAUGAAAGAAAAAAAGAAGGAAACCCAAAAUAAAGAGAAGAAAAGCCUAUUCACCGCUCAAAAUGCGAGGAUGAGUAUAGCACACGUAUUAAAUCAGUUUAGGACAAGUACAAUGUCUAAUUUCUCAACGGCAAUGGAAUCUCUCCUUUGCUGGCAAGGCAUGUUAUUGAAAAAAGGAAAAACCUGGGAUUCACAUCUUGUUCAUCGUGAUGGUGUAAAAAGCCUUCGAUAAGUGUUGUAUCAAAUUUGAAAUAUUUAUGCCUAAUAAAUAAUUUUGCAAUAUCGUUUGACUAUCUGCAGUUUAUCAUCUCCUAAUGUACAUAUGAUGUCGACUUGAAUGGUUGCGAAUAGAGCAACAGGUUGUCGUUUCGGUUGUUUUCCAGCUUUUGUUCGCUCUCUGGCUGCAACUUUGGCUCGUUCUGGGGAUAAAGGCGAAGAUAAGGCAAGGAGUCAUUGUUAUCCGUGAGAGCUCCUUGUUCAUGCGAUAUCUAUGUGCAUCGUUUACGUUGGUUAACCUCAUUUUUGCAAAAGCAUCAAUGUAAAGCAAUUUUAAAUAAUUGUGGAAGAAUUGCGUGUGCCUUGACACAUCAAUGUAAAGCAAUUUUUGAAGUUUUCAAGCAUUCUACAUUAUACAAAGGCUAAAAGGGUAGGUGCGAGGUGGCAUGAUUUGAAAAAAAAAAGUAAAAAGAAAACCACUCCAAAUCAUUUCAUUUCGUUAAUUUGAAUGUUUAUAAAUCCUAAAAAAAAAUUAUGUAAAUAUUUUUUGAAUUCUUGUUUUCAAGCCUUUUCAUGGGUUUUGACAUAAGCUAUCUGGAGAUGGCCCACCGAAUGGAUAUAAAACUAGAGACACAGUGCAAUUUAGCUGUAACACAUCAACUUAUGUCUCCUGACGGAUAAGAAAGACGUAUUAAGUCAAAAUCCUAAAUACUGACAAUUUUCCUUGUAAAACAUCAUCCCCUACAUUUUAAGGCCAAAAGGGUAGGUGCAAGAUGACAUGAUUUGAAAAAAAAAAAAAAUUACUCCAGAUUACUUCAUUUCGUUAAUUUGAAUGUUUAUAAAUCUUAAAAAGAAUUAUGUAAAUAUUUUUUAAAUUCUUGUUUUCAAUCUUUUUAAAAGCUGUUUGGGGAUGGCCGACAGAAUGGAUAUAAAACCGGAAACGCAGUGCGAUUUAGCUCAGACGCAUCAAAUUAUGUAUCGUGGCGGGCAAGAAAGACGAGUGGAGAUAAAAUCUCGAACGCUGACAAUUUCCCCAGUAAAACGUCAUCCCCUGCGUAUGCAGGAGCGCGCGCUGGCAUUUUGGCCGAAGAUGGUUCAGCGUCGGCCCCACACAGCCAAAAAGGCAGACGGUAGUCAAUGACGUCUUGUUGAAAGCGGUUCGACGACAAUUGAUAAUCACCAUGUCUUGGACUUCUAGAAAAACGUCUUUUCGAUUAGCAUUUUGCUACUUCGACCCCUUUUUUCUUUUUUCUUUAUUUAUUGUUGAAGUAGUCCAAUGUACCAAGGGAUAGCACCAAGGAAGAAGCCAAGGAUAAACCUUCAACAAAUCAGACAUCCUAAAUUAGCUGAUGAUCAUAAAGUUAUCGAAAUUAUGAUGAAUAUAAGGCUCAGAUUUCGGUAAAAGAACCAUCACAUGGGAUUUCUCUGGUUUCAAACUUGAAGGCCAGGUACCAAUGAGAAUCACAAAAUAUACAAAUGUUGAACUCAUGAAGCAUAAUAAUCUGCAACAUCCAGGCUCAAGAAUUGUCACGCAGUCCUUGUAGUUAUAGGGACUGUUGACUCCAUCAUGCUUCACAGUUGGCUAUGCUCUAGCCAAUACAUGAAAUCCAACCCACUGGUAAAGAAAGUAACUUACAGAAACCAUCCAACUCCAAUACCACAGCAAGGCAGCCGUGAUUCUCUUACUGGUCUUCCUUCAGCAACAGCAUAACCUGAAAAAGUUUUCUGUGAAAUGAAAUCUCCCCCAGUAAAAUGUUGCAAAGCAUACAGAAUGAAGAUCAUCAAUCAUUUUUGUUUCAUCAGGGCAAUCAGUAAAAUCAUCAAUAUGGGCAUACUUAGUUCUCAUUUUUCCCGUAAGUUAUCUAUUCGAGAAAGGUGAAAAGAGAACCGAGGAGAAAAGGUUUCAGAGACACAUUUUCCAAUUUUUGAGUCCUACAGAAUCUGAUCAAGUUUAAAAGGAUACAACAGAUCAUUUCACCACCUACAGUGAAGGAAACCCCAUCAGUCACAGUAUUUGCCGGCUAAAAUUACUCAUCUUCCUCUAGCUGCUCCUAUCUAGAUGUAAUUCACAACUGAAAACGCAUCUGAGCACUUAUGACUUCAAAGUAAGGCGAACACAUAGGCGGAGCCAUAUUUAUGCUCAGUAGACAGCAUUUUACUCGAGACACCAGUGGCUUCCGCAUUUUAUCCGACUUAAACUCUGAGAACCCUGGAACAACACAUCGGGCAAAACAUAUGAUUCUCCUCUGUAUGAGCAUGAUUGACAGCUAAAGCGGCCACGUUCAAAGGAGUCAACAAAACGAGGACAAACGUGCUGGUCCGAUUAAUUUCACAUAAUUUCAACAUCUUCCAUGGACUCCUCUCCCACGCCCCCAUACAUCCAAUGUCUCAAAAGAUGAGGAUGCUGAACCUUUCGCCAAAAAACUAAACCCACCGGAUAAACCAUAUCCAUUAAUACAUCAUUCCAUGCUAGAGUGAAUAGACAGAGGUGAGCAUAUUGGCAGUUCAUAAGACAAAAUCAAAAUCCCAAGAUUCCCUAGAAGCAUUCCAUCAUGAUCACACAGAAAUUUCAAAUGCACCACGACCAAAUUCCAGGAUCAACGGAAAAAAAAAAUGAUCCCUGAAUCGAACUUUCACCGACAGCCCCUUUCAAACUUUACAUCCUGAAGUUAACUCUGCUCGCAAGCGAUUCCAAAGGAAGCGACUUUGUACCUGGGACGGUGUGAUACCCAUGAUGGUAAUAGUGGGGAGGUGGAGGAGGAGGGGGCCGAGGGAUCGGUGGCGCCCGGCGGAGGCGCCUGCUGGGGGUAGCCGAUCGCCGGCUGCUAGUGCGGCGGGUUCGGCGGCGGGUAGUUGGCGACGCCUUGGAAGGUGCCGUACUGGUGCUGGUAGUCGCCGCUCGGGACGCCCCUGUUUCGGUCUUCAUUUGACACCCCUGCCUAAGGCUGGCAUGGGUAUUGCCACGGAAAAAGAAAAUUAUAAAAAUUAUUAAAAACUGCAAAAAUUUAGAAUGACUCAUGUCCACAUCAACAAUUUUUUGCUAAAAUCGACCAAAAUGACUGUGUUAGCAAAUUAUCGAAAUAUUUAAAAUUAUAUUGACAAAAUUGACAUUUUUAUAACAUGUUUAGAAAUUCUUCUUUUUUUGUAAUUAUCCCAAGAAAUUCAUGUUGUGUUGUGCAAAUAUAUAUCAAAUAACAUGGUCGCAUGCAAGUUUUAUUUGAUGUUCGCUUUCGUAGAGUAAGAUAUCCCUUGUAUAUCGAAAUAAGCAUAUUUAAAGGACUUGAGAUGUAUUAACAUCUUUGGUUGCCAAAACUCAAAACGGGGAAGCAUUAAUUUUCAAUGAAAGGACAAUAAAUUCAAAUGUUCUGAAACUCCAUCAGAAACAGCAUUGAUCAAUGGACGAAAUCAAGCGAGUGUUAAUGAAUAGGAAUAUAUUAGUGCCACAAAGAGUGAUAACAUGAAGAUGUGCAUACCAUAGUUUGGGAGGAUUGAUGCAAGAAGGGCAAGAGACGGGGCUUGAUGUCGUCGAAGAUGGUGAUAGGCUUGGAGUAGGCUUCCUUGAGCAACCGCGAGUUCUCCUUGAGGUCACCGAAGAGGAAGGUGUAGGGUUUGCCGGAAAGGCCUUGCUGUCUCAGGAGCCUCUCCAGCCUCUUCGGCCUCAACCACACCGAAUUCACCACCCUCCAUGCCCAUGUGGUUAGGACGGCCAGAAUCGUUGCUACUGCAAUUGACUGGAUUGAUACCUCCAUGUUUUCUUCUUCUUUGUGUGCGUAUUUGUUUGUCUGUACGUGGGUCUGCGUGUCUCCGUGUGUGCGUGAGAGAGAGAGAGAGAGAGAGAGAGAGAGAGAGAGAGAGAGAGAGAGAGAGAGAGAGAGAGAGAGAGAGAGGGACCUCAAUGUGAUGAUAAUGUUGGGCAAGGGCGAUUUUGUGGUGUCGUGUUUAUAUAGCCAUGGCCAAGAAGGAAGCCCAAAAUAAAAUGAAGAAAAUAGUAUUCACCGCUCAAUGCAAGGAUGAGUAUAGCACACAUAAUGAAUCGAAUAUAAAUUAUUGAAAAUGAUACAUCUAUAUUGGGUGUUUCUGACCAACUCAAUAAUCUCCUCUUUACACAUUGAGCCUAACUCAUAACUCUCUCAUAUGAUUGUUGGGUCCAAAUUUAUUGGUAAUUGUUGGGAUUGACUGAUCCCCGAAAACCGGAUUCGACACUAAAUCGAACCCCUAAAUCAAUGCAGAAGACGAAGCCCGGGAAAAACACGUAUCACCGAUCGUAAAGCACACCAUGGAUUCGAGCGUACCUUGUUAGCCACAGAUUAGACACCAACGCUGAAGAAGAGGAAGAAAUUCUGAUCCGAUGAUGUCAAUUCGCCUUGAAGGGAAGACGGUGUCGCCGUUUGCGCUUCACUGUUUUCUUCUUUUGGGGAGAGAGAGAGAGCGGGAGAAGGGAAGACGUACGUACGUUCCAACUUUCCAAGGGAUGUCUUCUCUCUCUCUCUCCUCCCUUUUUAUACCUUCCCCCAUCCACGGGCCCUAUUCCCGUGGGCCGAGCUUUUUGGGCCCAGCAUGGGCGGAUGGGUCUUAAGCCCAUCUCAUAAAUCCAUCAUCUCCCACUCGCACAUGGUGGUACAAAACCAACAUGGGCGGACAGGCCCAACUCAUCCCCAUCAAAGAAAAAUCCAUCAUAGACUCUCACUUAACAUGGUGGGCCGAACAGAAUCCUAUUUUCCUCUCUUCAACAUUCAUACCGGUGAAUAAUCCGUGCGACCAGCAUACUUUGAGAGCUCGUUGUUAUACAUCUAUUAGGAAUAUAUAGCAGCUCAUAAUGGGCAUCACAUCCUGAGUAGAUUUAGUAUGCAGUACCCUAGAUCGAUCGAUCACAUUUAUAUCUCUCUUGAUCUCUUUAAACAAUGAUAUAUAUAUUGUAUUCACAAUUAUGAUUAUCCCAGAGACAUUCAUAAUUGGUUAACCGGUGAAUACAAAACUACAAUGUGAUUCUCCAAAAUCGAUCUUCCUCUUUCCUUCAAACUCUCAAUUUCAGUUCAGCUUGCUUUUCUAGAAAUGCCCCAUUAGAUCGAAUCAAACUCAUGACCAUUGGCAACAUCCUAAGAUAGCAAACACUAAAUAGAAAUCUUGAGAAUAAGUAAGAGUCAUGAGGGGACUAAAAAUUGAGGAACCCUUUUCCUUAAGAGUCUCACACGACAUAAAAAGUUGAGAUCAAACUUUUGCCACUCUUAUUGGUCGUCUCAUGCAUACGUAGUAUGAAAUACGUAUUACGGUAUUAACUCCUUUCCUAUGGAGCGUAUGUCUACACCUUUCAAUACCGUACAGAUGAUAGUUCAGACAUACCCAAUGUCUAACUUGAGUUCAUGUAUCUACUCAUUUACAAAAUUCAUCAGAACUCACAUCUGGCAUCAUAGACAGAUAAAGUAAAAUAUGUGGAGUAUUUUACUUUCAGACAUAGUAAGUAUCAUGUCCUCAUCUUAACACUUAGUUAAGGCGACAUACGUGUUUUAAGCUUGAGCUCUCGAUUAUCACCUAGAUAAUAAGCUUAAAAACAGUCUCAUCUCUAUUUAUCACACAGUAAAUAGAGGUGAUUACCCGCGUGAGUGGGCUAAUCUUAUAUCUGUCCGACAUACUUUCUCAACUAAAUGUAAUGCACUAAGCAUUAAGAUGCAUAAAGAUCAAACAAAGAUUCAUAGGCAUUAAUGAUGAAAACAUAAAUUCAUCAAAUUGUGAACACUUAGGGAAAUUACAAUAUUUAGUACAUCAGUCUCUACGCAAUCCUAGAGAUUUCACAUGGCCACAAAGCACAUCUCUAGGUAUUGGCUUUGUUAUAGGAUCUGCAACCAUUCUAUGCGUAGUAUGUACUCUAAGUUCACAUCCUUUCGUGCAACCAUAUCCUUGACAAAAUUAUACUUGGUAUCUAUAUGUUUGGUCUUGCCAUGAUAUUUGGAUCUUUAGUGUACACUUUUGCUGCUUGAUUAUCAUAGUUAACUAAUAACAAAUCUGCAGCACUUCCAAUAACACCUAAAUGAUUUAAUAAUCUCUUAAGCCAAACAUCUUCUUAUACUGCUGUUGAUAAUGCCACGAACUCAGUUUCCAUCGUGGACAAGGCUAUACACUUUUGUUUCUUACUGCUCCAACAUAUGGUGCCAUUAUUCAGUAAGAGAACAAACCCAGAGGUAGAUUUCCUUUCAUCUAAAUCUCCUUCUCAAUCAGCAUCAUAAUAGCUUUAGAGUCGUAGAUCCUUUCCUCAAUGACUCAGCAUAUAAUCAGCAGUUCCCUUUUAGAUACCUCAGUAUUCUCUUAACGGCUUUCCAUUGUGCUGGAUCUGGAUUGGAUUGGUAUCUACUCACCAUUCCAACUGCAAAACAUAUGUCGGGUCUUGUACACAUCAUAGCGUACAUCAAGCAUUCCAACAGCACUAGCAUAAGGAACAUGUUUCAUUUGUUCCUUCUCUUGUGGAGUCCUUGGACACAAUUUAUGGCUCAAUCCUUCACCCUUUGCAAUAGGAGUGUCUAUAGGUUUACAAUCUCGAAAUCUUAACUCCAAGAAUGUAUGCAACAUCACCCAUGUUUUUCAUCUCAUAGUUGGAAGACAACCAACUUUUGACAGUAUUAACAAACUCCAUAUUGCUUCCGGCAAUCAGUAUAUCAUCAACAUAUAAUGAUAUGAUCACAAAUUGAUCCUUGGAUCUUUUGAUAUAUACACAAUAAUCAUCAUCUAUCAUUGUAAAGUCAUAUGCCAUUAUGGCAUUAUAAAAACGUAUAUAUCAUUGUCUUGACGACUGCUAAAGGCCGUAUAUUGAUUCCAAAAGUCAACAUACCUUGUCUUCUUAGCCUUACACUAUGAAACCAGCAAGUUGUUCCAUAUAAAUUUCUUCCUCUAAUUCUUCAUUGAGGAAAGCAGUCAUUACAUCCAUUUGAUGUAACUCAAGAUCCAGAGUAACCACUAUUGCCAGAAUGAUGCAAAUCGAGGUAAAUCUCACCACAGGAGAAAAUGUAUCCUCAUAAUCAAUUCCUUCCUGUUGAUCAUACCCCUUCGCCACAAGGCGAGCCUUAUGCCUUUCUAUCGAGCCAUAAGCCUUUUGCUUUAUUUUGAGAACCCAUUUGUUCCCAAUGGCUUUGUGUCCUUUUUGAAAAUCAACCAGUUCCCAGACUUGGUUUGAUUUCAUUGACUCCAUUUCCUCUCUCAUUGCAUGAAUCCAUUUUUCCUUACUAGGGCAACUCAGAGCCUCAUUAAUAUUUCUUGGCUCAUCCUCAUCUUGUGGAGCAAUCAUAAAAGUUUCCCCUUCAAUGUCAAAACGUCGACGGGGAAUACUUUGGCGAAUUGUUCACCAUAUGGGAAAUUGUACACUUAGCACAUCAUUCCCCAUAAGGCUCCCACUCGGAUUAGGUAAUGAUGAUGUCGUCUCAUCAAGUGGUUGCAAUUGAGAAUGAGUUGAAUUCAAUUCAUCACUUCUCAUAUUACUCCCACUUGGACGAACUCCAUAAUAUCAUUAUCUUAAUCCAAAAUUUCAAAUAGGAAGUAAUCUUCCCCUAUUUCGCCCCUCUUAGGAAAUUCAUUCACUAAGAAUGUGACAUCCCGUGAUUCAAAUUCAGUUAUACUCUCACUUUCCUGCUCACCUAUGAACACAUACCCUUUCGAGUAUUCGGAGUAUCUCAUUAAAAUACUCUUCUUUCCUUUGGGACCCAAUUUCCCAAACUUGUGAGAGGACUCAUGUGUACAGGCAGAACAACCCCAUGGCUUAAGAAAAACUUAAGUCCGGUUUUCUACCUGUCCAUAACUCAUAUGGAGUGGAAGUAACUGAUUUGGAAGGCACCCGGUUAAGUACAUAGGCAGCAGUUAACAACGCAUCACUCCAAAAAGUAAUAGGUAAAUUAGCUUGCGCCAUCAUGGACCUAACCAUUUCCAGUAGGGUUCUGUUUCUUCUCUCCGCAACACCAUUUUGUUGAGGAGUAUACAGAAUAGACAACUGUCUUUCUAUUCCUUUUUCAUCACAUAAUUUCUAACCAUUUCCAGUAGGGUUCUGUUUCUUCUCUCCGCAACACCAUUUUGUUGAGGAGUAUACAGAAUAGACAACUGUCUUUCUAUUCCUUUUUCAUCACAUAAUUUUCUGAACUCAUCAGAUGAAUAUUCUCGACCUCGAUCGGAUCUCAAUGCUUUUAUUUUCUUGUCUAAUUGAUUCUCUACCAGGGUCGUAAACCUUUUGAAACAACUUAUUGCUUCAGAUUUAUGAGAAACCAAAUAGACACAUCCGAAUCGAGUAUAAUCAUAUAUUAAAAGUGAUGAAAUAAACAGCCCCUUGCCUUCCUCUCACAUUCAUUGAACCACAAACGUCAUAACGGAUUAAAUGCAGAGGAAAUUAAGCUCUUUUACCUUUUCUAAAUGGUUUCCUUGUCGUUUUCCCUUCUAGGCAAUGCUCACAUAUGGACAAAUCAACUUUUUCAAUAUCGCCCAACAAGCCCUAUUUGGUUAGCCUUUUCAUAUGUAGCUGGCCCAUAUAACCAAGUCUAGCAUGCCACAUAUUCACAUCUUUAUCAUAUGAAGUAGAAGACGUGAAACAAAAAUUCACAUCAUUAUCAUGUGAAGUAGAGAAGACGUGAAACAAGGGAAUAACAAUUAUUGACAUUGCCACAGUCAACAUCUAAUACAAUAAAACCAUCCAAAAAGUGACCACAACUAUAGUAGUUCGUAUCCAAAUACAAAUCUACACCUCUAUUAUGGAAGUUCAUAUAAAAACCAAGCUUGACCAACAUCAAAACAGACACUAAAUUUCGACGAAUUUCCAGAGCAUAUAGAUCUUCAUGUAGGAACAAGUUGCGUCCACCACGCAUGUUCAAUUGGCCGGUGCCAAUCCAUUUAACUUCAUCUCUGGAGUUAUUUUCUACAUAGAUGCACUUAGUUCCAGUUGGUACUCGUCAAAAUUCCACGAAGAAUUCUCUAUCCUUCGUUAUAUGGUCUGUUACAUCUGAAUCUAUAGUCCACAAAGGAUUGGAUUCAGCCAAUAAAGCAGAACUUGACACAUAAGCAAAGUUCUCAAAUGUACUAGAGGUGUAUACUUUCUUUGGCUCACGACAGUCGCAAGCAUAGUGACCUCUCUUGUCACAAUUGUAACACCUCACCCUUGACAUUUUCUUUACUUGAGGACGUUUUCCUCUCUUGUGUUGGUUAACCCUUGAUUUCUUGCAAUAAGGACUUGAUCCUUUGCAUGCCCAUAUAUUGAACGAAUCAAUACGCUUGCGCUUAGAGCUCAAAGCCCUUUCUGAGCUAGAACCAACAUUGCCAAUAUUUAUUUUCGGCUCAAAUGCCGUUAGGCGGUCCUCUACUAGCUCAAGGUGGCGCACGGCACCCUCAAGAUCUUCCAUAAUUUGGUCAAGAGCUUCUAGUGCUUCUUGCUUUUCCAGCACAUAUUGAAUCUUCAUAUUCAAUAUUUCACAAUUGUUGCCGUUCAUAUCAGCAAUCACAUUCUUAGUUGCUGAAACCAUCAGUCUGAACACAUCAGACAUACAUGCACGAAUAAUUAAUGCCUAUCAUUUAUGCAUCCCUAUUUGCACAGACCCAUCAUAUUAAUGAAUAAUUUCAAGUAAGGCUUCAGAAUCAAAAUGUCACUGUGUUUCCAAUCAUCCUCCAAAGUCCUAACUCAAAAUUAUUAUUAAUAUAAUUGUCUUAUGCAAAUACAUUCUAUGAAGUUACAAAAACUUCUAUUACUACCCACAGCUAACUACUCACAGCAAUCAGCAGUAACAUAAAGCAAAUAGAUAACUAUAUUCAACAGAAUAAUCAUACUUGCAACAUAAUACAACUAACAUAUUACACUAAGCAAUAUACACAAAGAAAAAUAUCAACAUGAAAAGAUAUAUUUACAUCCAUAAAACAUCUCAUAAUUAAUCUAAGAAAUAAUCAGGGAAUGUCCCUUCUAAUCUAUCAGUCAAAACAUCUGAGAAAACUCAAGGCACAUUUGCCAACCAGGGAAAAACUUUUGGAGAGCUUUCAUGUCGCCACUAAGGCGCAUUUUACUCUGCGCCCUGUGGCGCUUAAACUAAGGGUUGAAGUUUUAGUUUUAACUCAAUCCUAUAGUUUUCUCUUACAAAAGCUUUCACUAGCCUGCUAUAAUCCGGGACCACGUUGACCUCCCAUAACCGAUCCAACACUGCUUGCCAUUCAGGUGGAAGAGUGUUCAUCAAAGCCAGCACCUUCUAAAUGAUUUCCUGUAUCAUCUCAUUGAUCCUGACCACAUGUGAUACUAAAUCACCGUCAUGCCACCGAAAAUUAGCUAAAUCUGACAUUAGCCUUUUCAGUCUUGCAUUUCCCCCGUCUGUUCUCGGGAUUGCAGGUAUCCGUGCAUGACGCAUCAUAGUUCCUGCAACAAAUGCAGAACUAAAAAUUGAUCACUUAUAAUCCAUAAUUUUAAAUAAGGAAAAUAAAUAAUUUUCCAUAAUUCAUGCAACAAAUGCAUAAUAAAAAAAAAAUGGAUUACAUAUACCACAUAGGCAUACAUGAAAAAAGAAACAAAUUCCUUUUUUUUUUUUUUUUUUCGGGUCAACGGUCAACGGUCAGUCAACGGUCGGUCAAUGGGUCAACGUUCGCCGGUCGUCAGACGUCGGACCGGUCGGACCGGUCGCGUCGGUCGGGCCGCCGGGCCGGUUCGCGCGGACCGCCCACGCGUGCGCGUGCUGACGUCACGCAAACGUCAUCCGGCACGUGUCGCGCGCGUGCCGGGGUCCGCGGUCGCCGGUCGGGUCAUCGGCCGGUGACUAGCCGGCCAACCGGCGUCACCGCUGACGUCAUCGAUGACGUCACGCCAGCGGUUAUUGACCGUUGGGUGACGUCAUGCUGACGUCAGCUCGCGUCGGUCCGCGGACCGGCGCGUGCCGGUUCGCCGGCCGGUGGCGAGCACGCGCGCCAGUUCGCCACCGGCGCGUGUUCCACACGCGCCUGGCGAGCCAGCGCCUCCGGGCGCGUCGCGCCCAGGCGCAGCGCCUUCCGGCGGCGCGUGUAGGCGCGUGCGGAGUCGCCCGGCGGCGCUCGACAUACCGCCAGACUCGUCUCGACGCCCCCUUUCUCCCUGUGCCAUCAGAUUUUGAUUUUGACAUACGAAAACAUGUAAAAAUGGCCGAAGAGCGCUCGGGUGUCGGGAUUUGUCGCCCGAUCCGUACGGCCGAAAACAAUUUUGCGAAAAAUCAAUCAAAAAACAUCAAAUUGAUCGGGAAAAACGUGAACUAGGGCUCGGAUACCAGUGUUGGGAUUGACUGAUCCCCGAAAACCGGAUUCGACACUAAAUCGAACCCCUAAAUCAAUGCGGAAGACGAAGCCCGGGAAAAACACGUAUCACCGAUCGUAAAGCACACCACGGAUUCGAGCGUACCUUGUUAGCCACAGAUUAGACACCAACGUUGAAGAAGAGGAAGAAAUUCUGAUCCGAUGAUGUCAAUUCGCCUUGAAGGGAAGACGGUGUCGCCGUUUGCGCUUCACUGUUUUCUUCUUUUUGGGAGAGAGAGAGAGCGGGAGAAGGGAAGACGCACGUACGUUCCAACUUUCCAAGGGAUGUCUUCUCUCUCUCUCUCCUCCCUUUUAUACCUUCCCCCAUCCACGGGCCCUAUUCCCGUGGGCCGGGCUUUUUGGGCCCAGCAUGGGCGGAUGGGCCUUAAGCCCAUCUCAUAAAUCCAUCAGCAAUCUAUGCUCUAAUACUAGUGUUGGGUAAUUUUAGACCUCUCUCAACCAGAAAGUUAGCUUAAAAUGUAAGACUUUCCCUCACACUUAUAAACCGAGCACCACUCAGGUAUAACCUCAAUAGUCUCAUGUAGAUCCCAUAAGAUCUAGCAGUAGAAUAUUCAAUUUAGGACAAGUACAAUGAAUAAUUUCUCAAAAGGACGGAGUCCCUCCUUUGCCGGCAAGACAUGUUAUGGAGGAAGGAAAAACUUGGGAUUCAUAUUAUGUCCAACGAGAGGGUGUAAAAAGCCUUUGGCAAGUGUUGUAUCAAAUUCGAAAUAAUUGUACCUAAUAAAUAAUUUUGCAACAGUGUUUGAUGGUAAAAUCCUUGGCCCAAAAGCAUUUGAAAAAAUCUACAAGAAACUUGACUCCCAGUGGUCAUUAUUAAUUACUUUUCUUCUCUCUUUUUCCCCCUUUUGACGAGGGCUCGGAUGCUCACAUGCCACAUAAUUGAAGGUCAAACAAGAAAUCGAGAACCUAGUCUCCAAGCAAAGUAGUGUUUUCUAUCCAAAGCAAGCACGUAUAUUUUCCCUUUUUGGGGGGAUUUAGAUUUAAUUUUCGUCACCAACCUUACCAAAAUUAUGAGUACGUUAUUGGCUGAAGCAAUUAUCUAUUUUGUGACUUGUAAUUAAAUUUUGUGUGUUGAAACUUGAAAUUUGAGGUUACACUUACCAUUGGUAUAAUAAAUGACAAUCUCGCUAUUACCAAAACCAGCCAUCUUUUUUUCUUGUUAAUGUCCAAUAUUAUAGUGCUUAAAUGGAUCCACCAGCUUAAAUAAUCACUUAUUUUCCAUGUAAUUUCAUAGAUCUAUUUACUAUAUGAGUUUUGAUAUCUCUAGCAUACUUGCUACCUAAAAUGGUCCAAUCAUGACCAUUUCAAAUUAUGGUUUGUUAUGUUAGUUUGCUCCUUUUUCACGUGAAAAGAGGCCUAAUACAAAUGCCUCAAUAAUUCUACAUAAGCGUCAUUCGAUAUAAGAUCUAAGACUUUAAGAUAUUGAAAAAUGAAAACUUCAAUAAUUUUGUGCAUCAUUCCAUAAGAUUGGAGAUAACUUUUCAUAUUGUUCAUAUAGAGCCCCCAUACAAGUUGGGAAGUACUACUGUUAUGGCUACUUAUUCUCCGGAUAUUAUUAUGGCACCUAUUACAGAAUUCUAGAUUGAAGACUGUGAAGAGCUCAUUGCUCAACACCACUUGUGAUAUAUUGAGUUAAGAUGGGUGAGUGCUUUUACCGCAAUUCCCCAGUGGGACACACAAAUUACUAAUGAGCAUAUGUUGAAACUCAUGAUCUUGUGUUUUAGAAACAGCAACUCAUGCCAUUCAGCCACCAACAUCGAUAGGGAAGACUUUAUCAGGAUGUGAUAUAUAUGCUUUUUAGAAUUGGAAAAAGGUGAAUGGCCAAUUAUUUUUCCUUGAAAUGCAUGAAUAUAUUGGAGUUUGUUCAUUGUGAAUUCUAAAAAGUUAAAACUAACUUUUUCUUACUUUUUCAUCAAAAUUUAAAAUUAUAAUAUGUAUUUUAAAUAAUUGUGAAAGAAUUGACAUAUCAAUGUAACGUAACUUUUGAAGUUUUCAAGAAUUCUACAUUAUAUAAAGGAAAAAAGGUUAAAUAAUAUGAUUUGAAAAAAGCUUUAAAAAAAAACAUUCCAGAUUAUUCGACUUCAUUUAAUUUGAAUGCUUGUAAAUCCUAAAUUUUGCUUUAUAUAAAUAUUUUUUUAAUUCUUGUUUUAAAGCAUUUUCAUGAGUGUUAACAAAAGCUGUUUGGAGAUGGCCCACCGAACGGAUGUAAAACAGGAAAUGCAGUGAUAUUGAGCUCUGACUUAUUAAAUUUUGUCUCGCGGAUCGAGUCGAGAUCUCGAACACUGACAAAUGUCCCCUGCAAAACGUCAUCACACGCGUUUUAAGAUGGCUCACAAAGAAGUAAAGAUCGCGCAACAUCGGAAUAUGCAGGAGCGCACGUCUGCAUUUGGGCAAAGGUGUGGUUAAUGACGCUUUGUUAAAAGCGACCAUUAUAUAAUGUUUGACUUUCAGAACAAUGCCAUUUCGAUUAGCAUUUGAUGCCAUUGCUUGGUAAGCUAGGAAUUGUUCCUUGGUGGCCAAACAGAUUCGGCUCAUUCAUGUUACAUCCACGGGACAAUGACUUCAUGAUUAAGUUUUAUGUAGCAAUAACAUCCAUAAGUGCAAAUUUCUCCCCUUUUUUUUUUUUUUUUUCUUUCAAGAAAACAUCCAUGUCCACAUCCUACUCCAUAACUAACAGCAUGGAACGAGCGAGAAAUGAAAUAAAGGAAGGAAUGGAAGAAAAUGAAAUGAAAAACUGAAUGAAAUACGCAUUGUAAUUCUUGAAUGUGUAUGGGGAAAAUAGGUUUGGAAAGAAUAUGAUGAUUCCUUUUAUAGUGCUUGCAUAUUUUUGGAUUGAAAAAUGUUAAAAUAUCUUUGAAACGGAUAAUGUGUGACAAUAAAAAUAAAGGGUACACUCAAAAUCAUUAUAUGCAUAAAUAUUUCUUAAUAUUUUGCCAAGGAAUGGCUUGGCCAUAUUGGCCACACCAUAAGUCGAGCCAAGGACUGGCUCUUGUCCCUAUUUGAUGGAGGAAUGAGCAUUCCCCAUCUUUUGCAAGAACAAACAGAUGAAAUGAAAUCGCAUCUUGAAGUAACGACUCCAUUUCAAAUCGAUUCCUUUCUAUCGAAUAAGGCCUCAUUGUUACAAUUUGAUCAAGGAUGAUUUGAUCGAGACUAAAUGUUAUUACCAUUUUAUGUUGGUGAAAUGCAUAAUUGAGUUGAGAGUCCGACACUUUCAUUCUUGCAAAAAUUCUAUCGUGACCUGACCCUGUGCGUGUCGGAAUCGCGUGUCGGAAUUCUAGACUCGCAUGUCAGAGAGAGUUGACCACGUGUCGGAUUUUUCGACACUUGUUGACCGCGUGUCGGGACGUGUCGAAGUAUCAAACACGACACGAAGGCUUCCGGAGAGUGUCCGUGCUACAUAGUUGAUAGUACUUUCAUCUAAAAGGAUGGUAUCAAUUAAUCCUUUACGGCAAUUUUCAUGUCGAGUAUACCAAACCACGGUGAGUCUUGUCGAGACUCAUAUCCCUCACGAAUGAUUGAUUUAUAUUUUAUGAGUAGUUUAAAACAAUCUAUAUGAAAGUUAUGAGUCAACACUAGUCUUGUUUUUGGGGAUCGGCCAGGAAAUCCAAUCGAAAGUCGGGAGUGGUCCUCGAUAUCUAUGCAACUAAAAAUUCUAAGGUUUAGGGAUUUAAGUUAUGCUAACAUUUCUAUUAGUACCCUUUUGGUACUAAUAGUUUGUUGUGUUUCUAAAUAUGUUCAUGCUUGUCUUUUUACAUUUUUCAUGCCAAUAAAACCAAUUAGAUGAUCAUAUGUGGAUUUUCAAUCUCAUGCUAUUCUAUUUCUAUCAAAAGAGAAAAAGAAAGAAACCAAUCAAUUGAAAUUUAAGGACGGUGUAGUAAGUAAAUGCCCAAAAAACAGUUUAAGGAAAUCAAUUAAUCUAGCAUGCAAUCAUAAACGGAAGUUAAAUCGAAAGAAAGAAAUCCGUAACUCGUCGGAUAUCUACACAACGCUAGGUAACCCAAAACAUAUAUCAGGAAAUAAAUGGUACAAAACAGGGUCGAACUGGACAUUGACCACUCAUCGUCUUCAUGUCCUGGGGAUCAUCACCUCCAUGGACCUAUUCUAAACCUAAUCUAAUACUAAGACUAGGUACUUACAAAGUAAAAGAAACAAUCAUGAUUACAAAUAUAUAAAAACGAUCACAAUCACAAAACAAGAAAGAACAAUCAAGAAACUAGGACAAAAUGUAUAAUUGAUCAAAUUUGUCCUCGGAAUCAGCCUUUGUGAUUCAUGCAACGACCACCUAAGACAACUAUCCACUCCAAUUUUAAAGUGACUUAUAACAAUUGGCCACCGUUUGUGUUCUCGCGUGACAACCUAUGCUAAAAAGUCCUUAAACAGGUUCUAAGUAUGACUUAGGACUUCUCGCGAGAUCAUGCAUUACGCCUACACGUUUAUCUAAAAACCACAUGCAUAGUUGAAAGUAAACAUACAAGCAGGCCAUCGGACGUUGGUUCUUAAUCGAUUAAGCAAGCUUAGUGAGCCAACACUGGAUCACUUAUUCGGUCAUCAAGUGCCAAACAAAAUCACAUGCAUUUCUAAAAAAUGAAGAGAUGUUAUGCAUGUAUGACUCAUGUAAUGCAUCAAAAUUUUUAAAUGCAUUUGAAACAUUGAUGAGAAGAUGAGGUAUUUUUGACAUACGUACAUCUUGGUUAUGGGACGCAUUUAAUUGCCAUGGUUAAUUCGAGGCGCAUAUCAUGCACUACUAAUGGAUGUUGCAAGCAUUUCAAAUACAGUAAAAACCUCGACGAGUUCAAUGUCAAAUCAAAAGUUAAUAGAUGCUAAAAUGGUUAAUGUUGGAGGCAUCAUGUGUACCAAAAUCACUUUGUGAUGCAAAAACAAUUUUUGCAAUAAAACCAAAAGGAUUUGACAAAGGGUCCUAGAUGGCCUUUUUAUUUUUUAAGGAUUUUUGACAACAAAGAUUGCGAAAUUUGGAAUAAAUUUCAUGAAUACAACUAAUCCCAAUUCAGCAUUCAAGAUAUCCCAAACAAUUCUAAAAGAGAAUCGCAGCAAGAAUCAUAUCAAAGAGUACCAAACAGGACAAUCAAAAUCAGAACAAUUGGAAUAGGACCCAUGGGUAAUUGGCCCUAGGAAAGUUACAAAACAUGAAGCACACAAUAAGAAAAAAAAAUUGUGAAGGAAGUUUCUUAAGAUGAGCUACAUAUGAAUUUAUAAAAAUUCAAGAACACGUAGCAUCACAUCGGAAACAGAGCAAGGCAGCUAGACAUCAUGGCAAAUCAACAGUAAUUUUUCCUGGUAGAUGACGUCUAAAAAUUCUGAAAUUUCACCACGAUAUAGACAUGAGAAAGAAAAACAAGUUUUAUUAAGGACCCGAUCUCAAAAUUCUUACUGAAAAAUCCAUAAAAAAAAAAGAAAAAGUUCUGACUUAACAAAAGCAGAAUGAGCAUUCCGAAUUUUACUCAUAGCAGAUUUCAUGGCAAACUUUGCAAAAAUGGAAAAAAAAUCAAAUGAAAUCCAAAUGAUGCAAGAUUAGUGUCAUUAGAAAUAUUAGGAUGUUUUCAAAGACUUUCUAAGAGAUGUCGAGUUCAAUUCAGGUCGAAUUCAUGGUCAAACAGUGACAAUUGCAAAAGUGUGCAAAUCAGUCAUAAGAAUGGCAGAACACGAUGCAUGAUAAUUGGCUUGUUAAGCUACUUAAACAAUACAUGAAGAUUGUAAAAUUCGAACAUAAUGUAGGGCUAAAUGUGAUUAUCAAGUUUGGUUAAUAUAUUUAGCCCUAAAUCGAUGUACAAAAAGUCACACAAGUUCAUUAACAUUGGCAAGCAACUUACCAUUAAAGAACACUCAUGACAAAAUGCACAUAAUUUCGGUUGUGACAUGUCAACUUGGUGCAUCGUUUUCACAUAGGAAAUGAUCUUCAAGUGAGGCAUGCCAUACAUCAUUAUGAAGCUUGUGGUAUGCUCUAAGUAUGUCUAGGAGACAUCAUACACUAGUUUCACUCUUAAGGUGCUCAAACGAAAUCAUUUUAAAAGAUACAUCAUCAGUCAAAUGCAGCAAGGGUUAUAUAGAAUAUAAACCGUUUCCAAUAAUCUAAUGACAUUUGAAAAUUCUUUGAAAAUUCCUACGUAUAAAAUACAAUGUCGCGAUUAUUUUACGUGAUGACUCCAAAGCGAGAUUUUAGGGUUCUAAGACCAAGUUCCGCAUUGAGUUUUGGUUUAAAUAAUUGUUUCAGAUGAGCAAUUUGUUGACGCGUAAAAGUUAUUAUGUUGGUGUUUAAGUUUAGUUUAGCCGAGUGUAGUUGAGAUAACAUUUUACUUGGUUUUGAUACUAUUUCUCACUCAUACGAUAAUAAUGUGAGUUCGUUGGAUCAAUUGAGCAUUGUUAUUUGGUUUAAGGCAUAUCUAGGCAAAUGGCGCUAUAUGUUCUAUGAAUUUGUGAACUUAUAUAUUGAAAAUGGUAGAGAUUUGAGAUAUUAUAAGUAACGAAGGAGUACGUUUAUUGCAUAAAAAUCUGAAUCAACCAAUUAUUACAUUUUCAUGUUGGUGAAUGAUUUGAGAAAGAUAUUUUGUCGUAAAUAUGAUUUGUGAAAGAAAUUUUGAAAUUGUUCGAAAACGGUUUUAAGAAAAAUUUUGUGAAUAUAUAUAUAAUAUAAAUAUCUAUUUAAUGGGUUACGAAUUAGCUUAUGCAAUGAGUCUAUAAUGAUUUGAAAAACCUUUUAGUAAAAGGCAUUUUGAAAUGUUGAGAGUUUACGAAAUGGAUUUUGCAAUGUUAUGAAAAAUGUCUUGUGAAGUAUAUUUUAUUUGAUGGAUUGAAUUACAAAAUGUUAUGUGAUUGGUUUAUAAAAUAAAUUGGGGAUCAUGACAUUGAUUAUAAAUUGAAUUUCUAGAUAUUGAAGGUUGUGAGUUUGGUGCUAAAUAUUGUUGUGAACCUAUGGAGGGGCUGUAGAUAUGCAUAUCGAGUUUAAGAUAUCCUUUUGGAUCGAGCCAAUGGCUUUGUAAGUAGAGACCUUGCUAAAAGGGUAAUCUUGAUCACAUUAUCACAAGGCAUUCUGUCAUGAUAUAAUUUGAUAUUAAGUGAAAGAUUGGUCAAUGGAUAGACCAUCGACAUGAAUUUUAAAAUGAGAUGAAUAAAUCAAUGGACCAUUGACGUAGUUUUUUUUUUAAUAGAGAUUAAUCAAUUGACUUGAUCAUUGAUAUUUGAAUCAUGAUAGUAGAUUUAAAUGUGUAUUUCCGACAUGCACAGGGAGGGGGUGCAUCUCUUGUCCUAUAUUGCCUAGGGGGAGUCUUAGACUAGUUUAUAAGGUUUUGGGUUCUCUAUCUAUACAUACACAUUUUCUGGGCAAAGCCCAAAGAAACAAAACUGUGAGGGUCCAGUGGGCUCAAAGUGGAUAACAUGUGUAGAUUGACAAACCCAGGGUAUUACAAACUCAAACAGGACAGAACAACAUAGUGACAUUUUUUUUUUUAUAUAUAGAUUUAGCCUAAUCAGAUUUGCUCCAAAAAUUCUAGAAAAAAAAAAGUGUUAUACCAACACAAUUUUGUGCUGUUUCCAUGGAGAAAAUUAGGAAAAAAAAUAUGUUCAAAAACCAAAAUACCAUAAUAUCAUGAAAAAUCCAGCAUAAUCAUCCAACUUCCAAGAUGCAAUUAGGUAUCAAACGAACUCCAUUUGAGGCCCAUAAUACAUCAAAUUGCAGCUUAUCAAAUGUAGAACAUAUGUCUAGAACACCUCGAGACAAAUAAUGAGGUUUGGGACCUUAGGUUAGCCCUAAUAUAGAGUCACUUUCAAGCAUGCGAUUUUUGCAAAACUAGGUAGAUCAUGUAAAAAUCAUAUUCAAUCUCAGCUUCAAUCAACACAACAUCAUCAAAUAUCAUCACAUAACAUCCAAAUCACAAAUUUAAACAUGAGAUAUAGUUCUAGGGUUUGAGUCCUAGGCCCAAUCAACCGGCUCAAUCUCAUUUCAUCAAAUUCAAGUUUUGAUUGUUUACGUUUGUGUGAUUUCAAUGAAACGAGCUCGAUCGAUUGACAACCUAAACUAUGGAAUGGAUCACGAACAUCAAGGAUCAUUGAAGGGAUGCCAUGGUUGGUUGGGUGGACCGGAUUAGCAUCGACCAAGCCCUCAAUCAGCGGCUGGACAGAACUGAUUUGUUUUGAAUCAAUUCAAGCCACCGACAAGAGAUUGGCCAAUUGGAGGACCUCCGGUGGUAGCUAAGUGGUUUUUUGGUCACCUGGUUCUUCAAGAUAGUUUAAAGAAGAUGAUUAGAGGUGAUGCAACGUUGAGGGAUGCCAGUUGGUCAUCGCGACCAACCACUGAAUUGACAACUGGAAUCACCAGCACUCGUGCUGGUGAUUGGUCCGAUCAAUUGAUCGGGCUAAUUGAGGAGCUCCGGCAAUCAUUAGGGCUCCAAGCAGCGACAAUGGGAGAAGAAAGGAGCUGAUGGAUCUUGGUACUCAGCUUGUAGGGGCUCCAUGCGAGCGGUGGUCAACGCAGCAAUCUGCGAGCGUGAGAGAGAGAGAAAAGAAAGAGAAGUGAUGGGAAAGAGAGAGAGGAGAGAGUUUUUGAGAGAGAAAUUCCUGUUCAUAUCUAAAAAUACAUAUUAUCAAAACUCCCCCAAAGUUUUAGAGGGAAAAAUCUUAUAUAGUCCCCCUUUAAGAUAAAAUAUUGGCUGUCGGUUCGACCUGACAGUCGAAACUUGAUCAAAUGGACUAAUAAAGUUUAUUAUGGAUUAAGUCAAAAUAUAUCACAUGAUCAUCCGGAUGGUGUUGAUGCACCAAAAUCAAAAGUUUAAAUAGAAUUUGCAAUUACGGCCUAAUUAAAGAUAAUUUUAUAAUUUCACAAAAUCCAUGGAUAUUUUCGCAAAAUAUGGAAAGUUGAAAAGCAUAAGAAUAAAAUACACACAGUGAUAAACUCGCUAGUGGUCGUUAGCCACCAAGAGCUAAUCGGUGGAGGGCUAAAUCGGCCUCUUUUGCCAGUGGCUAGCCAAAUUGGUCAGAUCGAUUAGAGGUGUACAAUGGGAACUACCCAAACUGAGAACCUCCCUGACCGAAUCCCUUAGUUUUGGGCGAUUCCUAGAGAGGGUGGUUCGGUUCCCAAUUGCCAUUCUUGGAACUGGUGGUCGGUUGGUUUAAAUCUCAGUUCUAAUGUGAGAACUGGAUUGAUUGGACUGACUAGACUAGACCAGUUGAUUAUAUAUAUUAAAUACAUAUUUUUAAAUUUCUUAAUAAACAAACCCUAACACCUCCCAAUUUCCCCCAUUUAUAAUAUAUGAAUCAAAUUGGAUCUACUUGUUUGGUUAAAGAUCGAGCAGAUGGUGGUUGAAUUGACGUGAUUCAUGCUUUUGAUGCUAAAGAACAAAGAAUCUGAUCUUUGGUGUUGAGCCUUGAGUCUUGAGUCUUGAGAGGGGUCACCAUAGAACUUUGUUAUGAUGCUUUGGUUAUAAGAUUAUUGGAAUCUAGGUUUAUGGAUGGAUUUAGUCAGUGAAGCCCCUUAAGCUCAACCAAUACCAACCGAACCUAUCCUCUUAAUAAGUGAAAAGAGGCAAGCCAAAACCUACUCCCAACAAGUUGUAUCCCAAGUCAAGCCCUAGAAGAAAGGAAAUGAGAAAUCGUCAAUGCGAGAACUUCAGGUAAAAAGGAGAAUUAGUCUUUCAAGAUACUGACCCAGCAUUCAUUGCAAGACUUGUCAGCUUAAUCUCAAGUCAAAGCCUUAUCCCUCUCCUGCUAAAGAACCACUCUUUCAUGGAGUAUUGAGAAAAUAGAAAGGCCAUUUACCUUUGCUGAUGAACUCUCUUUUGUUAGUAACAGAGAGUAUAGAGAAAAGCUUGUUGUGUGGAUGAGGAAACUCUCGAGGGACAAGCAGCAAGUUGCAUAUAUUUAUGCACCGUGCCACAAGCAGCAAGCUGUAACAUUGCUUAAUUUAUUUUUGGUAUAAAAUAACAAACUUACCAAUUCCACCAAACCGAAUCAGACCAAACCAGAUUGGUCGGUCAAUCCAACUCCCAAUUCCAAGACUAGUCGGUUCAAUUAUGGGUCCCAAAAUCUUGCAAUUGGUCCUCCCAAUUCGAUCCACAAUUCCACCUCAAAACAAGAUCAUAUCAGGAACCAAUCAGUCUUGGGAACGUUGCAAGCCGGUUCGAUUGAUUCGGCGACGGCUCAGGCAUCUUGGCCCUUGAAGUCCUAAAUUUUAUGUAAUUUAGACCAUCAAGGAUCAAAUUGGAAAGAAAACUUGUUCAAUCAGUGGAACAAUGGUCUAAUUCUAAAGAAAGCAAGCUAAUUAAACCAUAUAAAUGCGAUUCAAAAAUUUAAUAUUGACCUAAUUACUUAAUUAACACAAAAAAUAAUGGACCUGCACCAUGGGUACAUGCAAUUGGUCUUUUUAGGCCAAAUUGAGCAAUUUCACAUAAUUUCUUGAUCAAAAUUGUUGGAAUAUAAUAUGCGGAAACGAUAGGAUCCUGCAAUUUACGUCAACGCGAAAUCAUCAAAGAAAUAAAAGAUAAAUAAUAAGGACACCCGAAAUUUACAUGGUCCAUGUAUGUAUGGCUUCGCGUUCUUGUUUAAGGCUUCACGUGGCUUCUACGUGCUCCUACGUGCGGUUCCUUUUUUCACUUGUAGGACUACAUCGGCUCUCUCUAGAUGAACGUGCUGCUCCUUCAAUUUUAGGGCUUUUCGUCACUUUUUCCAUGGGCAAAGUAACGCUCUUUUAUAUGUGUGUGCCCAAGGUCAACAAUUUGACCUAGGCCCACCACUUCUAAUUCUUCAAUUCGUAACAAGGCUUAUGCAGAAGACAGAAGAUUCUUAUUUUAUCUUUUAUUUCCUCUUUUGUCUUCUUUUGCAGGUCCAAAAGAAAAAAUCCAAGAAGGAAAUUGUUUUCUCUUUCUUCAUCUGAUUUCUAAUCUGCUUGGGAAAAUCUUCCUCAAUAAAAUUUAGUUUAACAAAUCGUUAUCUGAAUUCAAACUUGAGAUAUUAAUUUAACAAUUCUCCACAUUGGCUUGAUAUUUGAAGCCAAGUUAUAGUGUCCAUCAUCUAUGCUACUCUCCCAAUGCCUUGACGGGCACUCACUCUCCACAAAUGCUAAUAGAACUCAAGCAGAGUUUGAGUUUUACCAAAGGAAUAGACUUAGCCAUCAUGUCUGCCGGGUUAUCUGUUGUAGCAAUCUUUUUGACAAUAACAAUACCCUUAACUAAGACAUCUCAGAUGAAGUGAUACCUGAUGUUGAUAUGCUUCAUUCGCUCAUGAUAAACUGGAUUAUAUGCAAAAUAUAUCGCACAUUGAUUAUCAUGGUGUAUAUCCACACUUUUAUGUUCUAACCCAAAGUGCGAGAGCAAACUUUGUAACCAUAUCGUCUCCUUCACUUCAAAGGUUAGUGCCAUGUACUCUACUUUAGUCGAAGACAAGGUAAUGUGAUCUUGUAAUGAUGAUUUCCAACUAAUUGCACCACCCGUUAGAGUAAACACGUACCAUGCUAAAGAUUUGCAAUCAUCCAAGUCACCGGCGUGAUCCAAAUCACAAAACCAGUGGUCUCAUUGCCAAUACUGUCCCUCCGGUAUACUAUACCCAUGUCUAUUGUCCCCUUUAAAUAUCUUAGGAUCCACUUCACAACUUCCCAAUGAGUUUUACUAGGACACUUCAUAUAGUGACUAACCACGCCAACAACUUAUGAAAUAUCAAGCUAGUGCCCACCAUAGCAUACAUAAUACUACCCACGGCACUAAAAUAAGGAACACGGGACAUAUGCUCCUCCUCCUUCUCAGUUUUCAGUAAUAAUUUAUCUGAAAGUUUAAAGUGUUUCACUAAAUGUGUACUUACAGAUUUUGCCAACUACAUAUUAAAACGUGUCAUGAUCUUCUCAAUAUAUUUCUUCUGAGAUAAACGUAAAAAUCCUGCAAUCCUAUAUGCAAAAUCUCCAUACCUAAUAUUUUCUUUGCAACACCUAAAUCUUUUAUCUCAAAUUCAACAUUUAAUCGCCUUUUCAGCACAUCAAUAUCAGACAUAUUCUUAGCUGCUAUCAGCAUAUCAUCAAAAUAUAAAAGUAGAUAAAUCAAAAAACCAUUCUCCAAUCUCCUAAAGUAAACGCAGCUAUUCAUCUGACUUUUUGUGUAGUCUUGACUAGCCAUGAAAGCAUCAAAACGUUUAUACCACUGCAUAGGAUACUGUUUUAGCCCAGACAAUGAUUUCUUCAACAAGCAAACAUGAUCUUCCUUACCUGGAAUAGCAAAUCCCCCUAGUUGCCUUAUGUAAAUCUACUCCUCUAACUCACCGUGAAGGAAUACAGUUUUCACAUCUAGUUGCUCUAACUCGAGAUCUUGCGAAGCAACUAAUGCAAGUAAAACACAAAUAAAAGUAUGUCUUACCACAGAAGAGAACACCUCAUUACAAUCAAUGCCCUCACAUUGUGUAUACCCCUUUCGCCACAAGUCUCGCCUUAUACCUUGCUGCCUCGACACCAGGAAUGCCUUCUUUCCGUUUAGAGACCCAUUUACUUCCGACAAUCUUUUGGCUCUUAGGUACAUUGACCAGUUCCCAUAUUUGAUUUCGAUGGAGUGUUUACAUCUCUUCACUCAUAGCCCUUAACCACUGCAACGAUUCCGAACUAGCCAUCACCUCAGAGUAAGACGAAGGCUCAUCUGUCUCCACCUCAUCACCUACAGUCAAUAAAUAAGCAAUAUAUUAUAACCAUAACGUAUCAAUGAUUUAAUUUGCCUUCUCUGUCUAUCUACUACUAUAAUGUGCUACGGCUUUGCUGGUUGUUCAUUAUCACCGACUUCAGGAAAUGCAGCCUCAUUUGCAGUCUCAACUUCUGUUACCUUCAAGAUCUCCGGAGUCUCCACCUGAAGCUCCACCCCACUAAUAACACCAUGAUUUGUCUUCUCUGCUGGUUAUGUCUCAUAACUCCUCUAUUAAAGCAUUGUAGUCUCGUCAAAUAUCACAUCUCUGUUGAUUAAAAAAUGGGGUGAUCUGGGAUCAGUGCACCAUAGUCGGUAGCAUUUCACCCCAUGUGCAUAAUCCAGAAAUAUGCACUUCUUCACCCUCAGCUCAAGCUAACCAUCACUUGCAUGAGCAUACGCAAGACAUCCGAAUAUAUGUAAUCUGGAGUAAUCAACAGGUUUCCCCAACCAUACUUCCUCAGGAAUCUUCCACUCGAUAGCAAAUGAUGGAGAUCGAUUAAUUAGAUAACAUGCCAUGUUCACUGCUUCGGCCCAAAAUUCAUUGCCAAGUCCUGCAUGCGAAAGCAUGCAUCGGGCUUGCUUAAGCAAAGUUAUGUUCUUUUGUUCUGCCACGCCAUUCUACUGUGGUGUCCUAGGUACUGUGCGGUGUCUUACAAUACAUUAUUUCUCACAAAACUCGGUAAAAUCUUUACCAUAAAACUCCAUGCCAUUAUCAGUUUUCAAGCACUUGAUUUGUUUAUCUGAUUACUUCUCAAUCAAUGCCUUAAAUUUCUUGAACCGAUCAAAUACAUCAUAUUUGUGCUUUAGAAAGUAUACCAAUACCUUUCUCGAAUAGUCAUUGAUAAAUGUCAGCAUAUAUCGGGCACCUCCUUUUGAAGGAACUGAAGACGGGCCCCAAACGUCUGAAUGAAUAUAUUCAAUUGGUCGUUUGGUCAAACGAACAUCUAUAGUAAACUUAACUCAGUGCUGCUUUCCAAAGAUGUAGUGCUCACAUAAGUCAAGCUUCCCUGUCUUUUGACCUUUCAACAACCCCCUUUCACUCAGCAUUGUAUACUUGCCUCACUCAUGUGCCCCAAACACAUAUGCCAUAAUUGAGUCAAGUUAGAGUCUGACUCAUCUGAUGAAACUGCAGCGGUUCCAAUCACGGUCUCUCUCAGUAGAUGAUAGAGAGUAUUCACUUUAUUUCCCUUCAUAACUAUCAUGGCACCUCAAGAGUGUUGGAGAAAACCUCCUUGUGUGUUUUGAAGCUGACAAAACAUUUCCAUCAGUUUAGUCUAAAUACUUGCAGACUCUCUUGUCAAACUCUAAAGACCGCCGGACCACCAGACUCAAGAUUCAAAGUCUACCAUUUUUAACAGUUUCUAGACCGUCAAAGAAGACUCAUCCAAGAUUGAGUAUUUCUUUGAGGAUUUGAUUCUAUCGACUAAAAAAUAUAUCUCGGCUGGAUAUAACAUCUCGGAAUCCAUUAUUCGUCUUCAUAUUAAAUCGGGUAAUUUAGAUCCAUUGAUUGGCGAAGCAAACUUGGAAGGUUUUACUUAUGGAAACCUAGAUCCUAAUUGUAUGGGCGAGCAGGAUUGGUGGGCUAUCGUCAUGUUGCUUUAAUAACUCGAAAUCUCCCUAAUUGAUUUUGUCCAACGGGUAGACUGGAAGAGCUCCUUUGGAAAGUGCCAAUAGUUAUGAAGGCAUGGAGGAGUAUAUAAGGAAGAUGUUCCAGUUAUUCGAGUGUGUGCGUGAUAGAAAAAUUUCAAAAUCUGAAACUCCUUGUUCUUGGCCAAUUCAUUUGUUGAGCGUAAACUUAUACUCAAAAGAGAGUUUAUACAUUUGUGAGACCUUGAGGAAGUGUAGCGGAGUCUCUACACUGUGGAAUCAAGGACGUGAUACUGUAAUGACUCUUUUGAUUCAUAGUGAAAUCCAGCCAAUGAGCUGUUAGUGCGGGAGAGUGGACGUAGGCUUGGAUUAAGCCGAACCACUAUAAACCAUGUGUUCUUAUUCUUUUCCCUAAACUAUUUUACUUUAUUCGUAACUUUAUUUAAUUAUUAGAGUCUUGUUUCUAUUUCAAAGUCUACCGUUAAACAGACUCAGAUUAAAAGUAAAGUUUUACACUAUUCUUCGCAAAAGUUUAUUUUCGCACAUAUUCACCCCCCUCUAGGUGUUCAUACUAACAUUCACAAUUGGUAUUAGAGCAUGUGUACUCAUUUAAAUUCAAGUGUUUUUACUUCAGAGUUAACGAUCCAUGGCUAGUAUGUUGGCUCUAGGUUUGGUUGAAGGGCAAAGCAAUACCAGAUCACCUUACUUUGAUGGAAAGGAUUACAAUAUAUGGAAAAACAAGAUGAAGGCAUUCCUAAGAUCAAAAGAUCCUCUAGAAUGGGAUGUGGUAGACAAAUGAAUUAUUCCUAAAGCUACAACAGUCUUAGAAAGGGGAAAAGAAGCCGUUGAGUCCAGCGAGAUGACUCAAGAAGAAAUAACCAAGAGAUAAGCUCUUGAUGCAAAAGCAAUUUAUUUUUUAUAUUGUGCAUUAUCUCCCACUGAAUAUAACAGAAUAUCUUAUUGUGAAACAGUUAAAGAAGUCUGGGAUAGAUUGCACAUCACCUAUGAAGGAACCAAUUGAGUGAAAGAAACUAGAAUCAAUAUUCUGCUCGGUCAAUAUGAAGCAUUCAAGAUGAAACCAGGAGAAUCUAUCACUGACAUGUUUAGUCGUUUUACAGAAAUCGUGAAUGGUCUUGGAAUCACAUAAGGACUUCAAUAAGGGAGACACAAAUGAUCAUGCCACUAUUUGUUGACGAUUUGGUUGGCACUCUUCAGUCUUAUAAAGAGGAGCAAAUCAAUGAAGUUAAAGAUCCGAAAGGUAAAAAAAUCUACUACAUUAAAAUCUAAUGAUGAUUCUGAUGUUACAGAUUCAUAAGAUGAUAUGAACGAUGAAGAGCUUGCUCUUAUGAUAAGAAGGUUCAGAAAACUGAACAAAAGGGAAGAAAAUUCAAUUGGAAGAAACAAAAUUCUCAAAAGUCUCAAAAUAAAUCAGUUGAGGAUGAUGAAUCCAAUAAAGAUGUGAUUUGUUUUGAAUGCAAGAAAAAGGGACACAUCAGACCCAACUAUCUCUUACUGAAGAAAAAGAAAGGGAAAGCUGAGAAAUACAUAAAAGCUCUCAAAGCAAAAACUUGGAGUGAUACCAAGUGUGAAGAGAGUGAUGAUGAUUAUGCUAAUAUCUAUCUAAUGGCACAAUCAGAAUCAGAUUUAGAUUCUGAGACAGACUCGAACUCAGAUAGUGAAAUUGAGGUAAGUAAUUUAAAAAUUCCUACUAAAGUCUCUAAAUUUAUUGAUGAAUUGUGUCUUAGUCUCAAAAUCUCUCUCAAGAGGAUUUCCGAACUAAAAAAAAAAAAAAAAAUUCUGCACUGAAGCAACAGGAGAUUGUUUGGAAAGAAAAAGGUCGAAAAUUUAGAUAAAAGUGUUAUUAUUUUGAAAGAAAAUGCACUUUUGAAAAAUGUCAUUUCAAAUGUUUCAAAAAGGUAUUUUAUAGGAUCUGAGAAAUUAGAAAAGAUUCUCUCAGCACAAAGACCUUACUUUAACAAAUCAGGUUUAGGAAUGACUGCUGAAAUCAUUCCUUUAACUGAUUUUCCUAAAGUAAAUGAAAGAAUUAAACAAAGACUGACAAAAGAUUAUUAUAAAAAUCAUUUCCAAAAAGUCUUUGUAAAACCUGUAGACCGUAGUAUUCUCAAAUGUUCUAAGUGCAACAGCUUAGAACAUUUUGAGAAAGAAUGUCCAUGGUUUGGAAACCUGUUAAUAAGGUUUUGAUAAAGACUGUAUAUUGCACUAACUCCAUUGGACCCAAAAAAGUAUAGGUACCAAAGAAAGCAUGAGUUUCUUUUUUAAAUGCAGGUUACUAUCAAGAAAAAUGUUAAAUGGUACUUGGAUAGUGGAUGCUCAAGACAUAUGACAGGAGACUCAAGUUGUUUCAUAAAGAUUAUACAAGUUAAUGGUGGAAAAUUUUCUUUUAGAAGAAAUAUCAAAGGUAGGAUUGUGGGAUACGGAACCGUAAAAAUUGGAAGUCUCACAAUCAGUAACAUUUCCUUAGUGGAAGGACUCAACUAUAACUUGCUAAGUAUUAGUCAACUGUGCGACACAGGUUACAAAAUCAACUUUCAAGAAGGAACAUGUUCAGAAACCAGUAAAGACUCCUCUCAGACAUUCACGAGGCGAAGACAUGGGAAUAUACGGAUAAGUACACUAAUGGUGCCAUAAGUUGGAGGUAAUAAAUAUUGCCUAGUAAUAGUGGAUGAUUAUUCACGAUUCAUUUGGGUAUUUUCCUGGCAAGUAAGUCCGAAAUAUUUUCUUAUUUUAUAAAAUUUGCUAAGAAAGUUCAAAAUAAGAAAGGGUAUGCUAUUUCAAGUAUACGGACAGACCAUGGAGGUGAAUUUGAAAAUCAAGACUUUACUAAAUUCUGUGAUGAAUCUGGUUUUCAACAUGUGUUCUCUCACCAUACACUCCAGAACAGAAUGGAGUUGUGGAAAGGAAGAAUAGAUCAUUGCAAGAAAUGACUAGAACACUUUUAAUUGAAAGUAACAUUUUCUCUCUUUUUGGGCUAAAGCAGUUUUUACAGCGUGUUAUAUUAUUAAUAGAGUCUUCUUAAAGCCUAUUCAGGAGAAAACUCCCUAUGAGUUGUUCAAGGAGGGAAAGAAGUCAAUUGUUUCUUAUUUUCAUGUGUUUGGAUGCAAAUGUUUUAUAUUGAAAAAUGCAAAUGAUCGAAUUGGUAAGUUUGAAGAGAAAUCAAACGAAGGCAUCUUCCUUAGAUAUUCAACCACUAGCAAAGCUCACAGAGUAUACAACAAAAAGACUCAAUUUGUGGAGGAAUCGAUGAAUGUCAAAUUUCAAGACUUUAUACAAAAUUAAUCGAUUCAGACUCAAUAUGAAGAAUUCGAACCUGCUCCAAACUCUACAAAGUCUAAAUCUCCAAAAGCAGCUCAGACUUUAGAAGACCAGCAACGAAUGAUCGUUGAAGAAUCAAAUGAAGAAAAAGAUCAACAGUCUGACAAACUAACUAGCAGCUGGAAGCACAAGUCUAGUCAUCCCCAAGAACUCAUUAUUAGUGACAUUAGUGAAGGAAUUCGUACAAGAUCCAAAAGGCGUGAAGAGUCUAGUGCUGUGGCUCUUAUUUCUGAAAUACAACCCAAGAGCAUAGAAGAAGCUUUAAUUGAUGAAAGCUAAAUUGAAGUUAUGUAAGAAGAACUCAGGCAAUUUAGUAUCAAUGAUGUUUGGGAAUUGACUCCUAAACCAAAAGGUAAAUCCAUCAUUAGAGCUAAAUGGGUUUUCAAAAACAAAAUGAACGAGAAAUAAAAAGUUAUAAAGAACAAAGCAAGAAGAAGGGAUAGACGAUGAUGAGACUUACGCACCAGUAGCAAGGUUAGAAGAAAUUAGAUUAUUACUUGCUUUUGCUUGUUAUAAGAAUUUUAGGUUAUUCCAAAUGGACGCCAAAAGCGCUUUCCUAAAUUGAUUUAUCCAAGAGGAAGUCUAUGUGGAACAACCUCCCGGUUUUGAAGACCCAAGGAGACCAGACUCUGUAUUCAGAUUGAAAAAGACGCUAUACAAUUUAAAGCAAGCACCUCGAGCUUGGUACGACAGGUUAAGUAAGUUUUUAAUUAAAAAUGGCUUUGUUAAAGGUAAAGUAGAUACUACCUUGUUUAUCAAAAAAGAAAGCAAAAACUUUUUACUUGUUCAAAUCUAUGUUGAUGACAUUAUUUUUGGAUCACCUAACGAAAAUCUGUGCAAUAAAUUCUCUAAAACUAUGCAGGAUGAGUUUGAAAUGAGCAUGAUGGGUGAACUAUCCUUCUUUCUCAGACUUCAAGUAAAACAAUUGAAGGAAUGAACUUUUAUCCACCAAGAAAAAUAUGCUAAAGAACUCGUUAAAAAUUUUGGCUUGGAGAAUUGCAAAAAAACUAAUAUACCAAUGUCAAGUUCCUCGAAGCUGGACAAAGAUGAAGGAGGACAGAAAAUUGACCAAAAGCUAUACAGGAGCAUCAUUGGUUCACUUCUUUAUCUUACUGCUUCUAGACCUGACAUUUUGUUUAGUGUUUGUAUUUGUGCUAGAUUUCAAUCAGAUCCCAAAGAAUCUCAUUUAAGUGCUGCAAAACGUAUCAUCAAAUACGUUGCAUCAACUUCUAAUUUGGGUCUGUGGUAUCCUAAAAAAAGAGAUUUUACACUCCUUGGAUAUUCAAACACAGAUCUAGCAGGAUGUAGAGUUGAUGGAAAGAAUGCCUCGGGCACUUGUCAAUUACUUGGGAACAGGACAGUAUCUUGGUUUUCAAGAAAGUAAAAUACGGUAGCUCUUUCAACAGCAAAAGUAGAGUAUCUAGCUCUUGGAAGUUGUUGUUCUCAAAUUUUGUGGAUAAAAUAAUAGCUAAGAGACUUUGGAAUUGAAGACUCAAGCACUGAGAUCAAAUGUGAUAACACCAGCGUGAUUAAUCUCACCAAGAAUCCAAUUUUUCAUUCAAGAGCAAAGCAUAUAGAGAUUCGACAUCAUUUUAGUAGAGACCAUGUUCAAAAUGGAGAAGUCUUGAUCCAAUUUAUAGACUCAAAGAAUCAGUUGGCAUAUAUUUUUACAAAACCACUGGAGAAAAGUCAAUUUGAGCUUAUUCAUUCCAGACUCAAUAUCUUAAAGUCUGAAUAAGUUCAGACUUAGGGUUAAAAGUCUAAAGAUAUUCAAACUUAGAAGAUCAAAAUUCACGAUUGUAAGUUAUUUCUAUUUUAGAAAUUUAUCUUACAGAUAAAAUCUCGAAAAGGUACGUUCAUCUAUUAAUUUGUAAUUGAUUGAUGUUAUCUUCCCCAGUUUUCGUGAUUAUUGCAAUCAUUCAUUUUCGAAAAAGAAGUUAUCUUUUGACGGUUAUCCAUUUUUCAAAAAGGCGGUUAUUUUUUGAAAAUGCAUUUUCUAUUUUUCCUUUUACGACGUUCCGUAUGCCUCUUUUCGAUUGCCUUAUAAACUAAUCGUCUUCCUCACAAAUCCUAAAAGCACAGAAUUUUACUUACUUUUACUCUCUAGUUUAAUCUUCAAAGUUCGCACCUUUCUCGCGAAUCAAGUUUGAAAUCUCUCAAAGACUGUGAGAAUGGCUUCCCAAAGAAAGUCCUCAAGGAUCGCGAACAGGGGACCACAACAUUCUCAACCGGGUCAAUCUCCUCAAGCUAGACCUCAUGAUAUUGAUCAUAGAGCGGAGGAAGAAAUCACUGAAGACGUAGAACCCGUAAGAACUCAAAAGCCUGCUUUUAUCUUUAAACUCUACUCUGCCUUGAAGAAGGGAGGCACUCACUUGAACUAUAUUGAUGCAUUUUUGAAAGAGAAAUGGUAUCGAAAUGAAACCCACUUUUUACGUACAAUGGAACUAUUGGGAAUUGCUCCUGCAGGGUCAACAGAACAAGCAUUUACGAAUAUUCCAAGUGAUCCACGUGUUGAAGGUUUUAGUCAGCCUGAUGGGAAUGAUGAUGAGAAAAUGUACACUCAUUUUAAGCCUAGAAUGAGUGUUGCGGAAAAUAUAAAAAGCAAAAGGACAAACUUGUUUCGUUAAGAUAAAGACAAGCGACUUUACUCUAAGUUGCUAAAGCGGGGAGUGAUCAAUCCAAGAAGUGUGGACUUUGAUUUCCUUGAUUCUUUGAAUAUGAAGUUGCAAGAUAAAUUCACUCUUUUUCAACUUGAACAAUUUUGCUCUAAAGUAACGGUGGCUCAUCCAGAACUUACGACGUACUUCUAUUCUAAUCUAAGUUUCUUGGAUUCGAAUAGAUUUUCUUUUAGUGUUCGAGACCAGGACUACAUUGUUGAUAUGGACACAUUGGCAGAUGUGAUUGGAGUAGAGCGAUGGGCAUUCCAAUCAAUUAGUGUGUAUGUUGAUCAUGCGACGGUAGAGCUUGUUUGAGAUGGAAUGGCUGAAGGAAAAAUUUCUUACUGGAGGAUGAAUGCCUUAAAUAUUUUGCUCCACAAGAUUGUGAUCAAUUGCCUCAGACCCAAAUUGAUUUCGAAGACCGAUGUCUCCAACUCAGAAGCAAAGUUGAUGUAUGCCAUCAACAUUGGGAAAAAGUUCUCUCUGCCUCACACAUUCAUGUUUCAUAUGUAUAGAACGAUGGUGAAAGACAAAUGCCAACUUCCUUACUCAGCGCUUGUUACAAAGUUAUUCAGACACUUCAAUGUUCAGCCUCCUAAGAUUCUCUGUGUUCGUACUUGUGAUCACAUGGUGGUGGGACCGAAAAUGGUUUCCAAAAUGCAUCUGAAGGAAUUGAACAAAGCUUUGGAGUGAUUUAAGGAGAAAACCCUGGUCAAGACUCACCAAGUUUCUUCAGCUACAAAAUGGAAAGGGAAAGAGCAAUUGAUUGCUCCAUCAAAGAAAAGAAGAGCACUCAUCUUGGAGGAUGAAGAAGAUGAGGAUGAUAUCACCAUUUCCGCUUUUGCAUUGAGAAACUUACAUCGUUCCGUUCCAGAGAUUGAGGAGAGAGAGGAUCAAAACAGAGAAGAGUCGGAGCAAAGGAGUGAAGAGAGAGAAUCGUUGAGAAAAUAAGCAAAGGAAGAAAGGACUGCAGAAGAAGAAGAGGGCAGAGGUGAACAAGAAGAGACAGAGCAUGAAGAGUACUUCUCACCACCUGAAGGCAAUGAAACAGGGGGAGUUGCUGAGAAAAGAGGUACCUCUUCAAUUGCUUUUAGUGAAGAUGUUAGUCGUUCACCUUUAGAUCCAGAAGACAUCUAUGCCUCUCAAUUUCCUGAGGAAGGUCAUGAGGUUUCAUCUCCCAAAUCUGGAUACUCAUGCUGACUUGCCAUCAUCUGCAAACACUCCUCAAACUGAUCAUGUACAGGCAAGCACUCAGAUUAAUAAUUCAACAGACUUUCGAAGACUGCUUGACAUUCUUAUGGAGAUGUGAGGCCAAAUUUAUGCCCUAGGAUGUGAAGGUCAAGCCUCUUCAGUUUCCGUGCAUGGUCAAAUUCAUGCCCUUGCUCUUCAAGUUCAAGGAAAUGCCAAGGGUGAAGAAGUGGCUUAAUUGAAGGAGGAUUUGAAAAAGCUAGAAGGAAUUGUCCAGUCGAUGGGAGAUUUUCAAAUUACUCGCGUUCCAAAACAAUCUUAAUUUCAUUUUCUUUUCAUCUCUACCUUUUUAAUGUUGCCAAAAGGGGGAGAUGGUUGUGUUUCCUGUGGAUGCAGAUGUAUUACUAUCUUUACUAAGCUAAUUAUCUUUUAUGAGAUACCCAUGUGUGCUUGAGUAUUGUCUUGCAGGUCAAAAAUAUCCAAAUCUGCAGGAAAAUUUUGUGACCAUAAAAAAAGGGGAGAUUGUUGGAGAAAACCUCCUUGCAUGUUUUGAAGCUGACAAAACAUUUCCAUCAGUCUAGUCUAAAGACUUGCAAACUCUCUAGUCAAAGUUUGAAGACCGCUGGACUACCAAACUCAAGAUUCAAAGUUUACCCUCAUUGACAGUUUCUAGACCGUCGAAGAAGACUUAUCCAAGAUUGAGUAUUUCUUUGAGGAUUUUAUUCUAUCGACUAAAGAAGAUCUCUCGGCUGGAUAUAGCAUCUCAGAAUCUAUUAUUCAUCUUGAUAUUAAAUUGGGUAAUUUAGAUCCGUUGAUUGGCGAAGCAAAUUUGGAAGGUUUUACUUAUGGAAACCUAAAUCAUAAUUGUAUGGGCGAGCAGGAUUGGUGGGCUAUAGUCAUGUUCCUUUAAUAACUCGAAAUCUCCCUAAUUGAUUAUGUCCAAUGGGUAGAUUGGAAGAACUUAUUUGGAAAGUGCCAAUGAUUAUGAAGGCAUGGAGGAGUAUAUAAGGAAGAUGUUACAGUUAUUCGAGUGUAUACAUGAUAGAAAAAUUCCAAAGUCUGAAGCUCCUCGUUCUUGGCCAAUUCAUUUGUUGAGCAUAAACUUGUACUCAAAAGAGAGUUUAUACAUUUGUGAGAUCUUGAGGAAGUGUAGCAGAGUCUCUACACUGUGGAAUCAAGGACAUGAUACUGUAACGACUCUUUUGAUUCAUAGUGAAAUCCAGCCGGUGGGCUGUUAGUGCGGGAGAGUGGACGUAUGCUUGGAUUAAGCCGAACCACUAUAAACCUUGUGUUCUUAUUCUCUUCCCUAAACUCUUUUAUUUUACUAGUAACUUUAUUUAAUUAUUAGAGUCUUGUUUCUAUUUCAAAGUCUACCGUUAAACAAACUCAAAUUAAAAGUAAAGUUUUACACUAUUCUUCGCAAAAAUUUGUUUUCGCACCUAUUCACCCUCUCUAGGUGCUCAUACUAGCAUUCACAAAGAGAUCUUCAGUACUCCACCUUCAGCAUUGUACCUACACCCGAUGUCAUCGAGUGUCCCAAAAAAAAUAAGGUUCUUCUUGAGCUCUGGUAUAUGCCUCACAUUUGUCAAUGUGCGCACCACCCCAUCGUGCAUCUGAAUCCGAAUUGUCCCUAUCCCCAUAACCUUACAAAUUGCAUUAUUCCCCAAAAAAUCUUACCACCAUCUACAGUCUGGUCAGUAGUAAACUAAUUCUUAUGAGGCGUCAUAUGAUAAGAACACCCUGAAUCUAGCACCCAUUUGUUUCCUAACGAAGUAGUAAUCACAUAUAAAACAGCUUAUGCAUCACUAUUGCUCCCCUCGGCAACGUUUGCCACAUUGCUUGUGGUAUUAUGCCUAUCAACUUUAUUCCUUCGCUUUGGACAAUCUCUCCUAAUGUGUCCUCCUCGUGACAUUCAAAGCACUUCACGUGUCCCUUGGACUUUCUAUGACAUGAUUUCGAUCUGCUUUUACCUCUGCUACUACUAGACCCUCAAUGUUGUUCUCUACCCCGAAUAGUCAGUGCUUGCGCUACUCCUUGUGCCAAACCGUCAUCUUGCAACUUUCUCUGCCACUCCUUAGAGAAUAAUGUGGACUUUACCUCUUUUGAGGUAAUUGUAGUACGUCUCUACAACAGUGAAUCAAUAAAGUGCUCCCAUGACUUUAGUAAAGAGGCUAACAACAUCAUGCCAUAUUCUUCAUCAUCAAGUAUCUUACCGACAUUCUUCAGAUCCAUCAUGAGUUUAUUAAAUUCAUCUAGGUGGGUUGUGAUAAACACACCUUCAGUAUAUUUAAAUUGAAACAUCUUAUUUAACAUAUAUAAGCGAUUGUUCAAACUUUUCUUCACAUAGAAUACUUGAAGUUUUGCCUAUAAUGCUACGGUAUCCUUCUCCUCAACAACCUUUAUUUAAACCUCAUUCGACAAAUUUAACAAGAUUGUACUCUUUGCUCUUUCAAUUAGUUCUACCAUCUCAAAGGUUUUCAUUAUAAUAGGCAACUCAUCUUCAAUAUCCAGCGCCUUGGCCAAACCUUGGGUUGUCAAUAAUGUCCGCAUCUUGAUAUUUUAUAACACAAAGUUGUUGCUCCCAUUAAACUUCUCAAUUUCAGAUUUCCUCUCAGAUAUAAUUGAAAUAACAGAAUUUCCAGAUAAUAAUCAGACAAGCAAAAGCUCUAAAUCACAAUCAAGAAAUCUGAUCCCAAAGUACCGAUUGUUGGAAUAUAAUAUGCUAAAACGACAGGAUUUUGCAAUUUACGUCAACGCGAAAUCACCAAAGAAAUAAACGAGAAAUAAUAAAGACAUCAUAAAUUUAUGCGGUUCAAUUCGAGUAUGGGUACCUACAUCCACGGGGAGAGCGAGUAACAAAUAAUCAAUUAUAAUCGGAAAAUCAGAGUUUACAAUCACUCACACGUUCAAGUGUUUCCCCACACUUAGAUUUAUCCACAAACUCAAAGUGUUAAUAAACAACUCACUGGGAUAUAAACUCACGACACAAAAUUACCAUGUGUUCAAACUCAAAGCAAAACGCUUUAUGUAUGCCAAAAUCAAGUCCGCGUACGUAUGGCUUCUCGUUCUUGUUUAACGACUCGCGUGGCUCCUACGUGCUCUUAUGUGUGGCUCCUUUUUUCCACUUGUAGGACUGCAGCGGCGCUCUCUGGACGAACGUGUUGCUCCUUCAAUUUUAGGGCUUUUCGUCACUUUUUCCAUGGGCAAAGUAACGCCCUUUUAUAUGUGUGUGCGCCUAAGGUCAACAAUUUGACCUGGGCCCACCACUUCUGAUUCUUCAAUUCAUAACGAGGCUUUUGCAGUAGACAAAAGAUUCUUAUUUUAUCUUUAUUUCCUCUUUUGACUUGUUUUGUAAGUCCAAAAGAAAAAAUCCAAGAAGGAAAUUGUUUCUUCUUUCUUCAUUAGAUUUCUAAUCCACUUGGAAAAAUCUUCCUCAAUAAAAUUCAAUUUAACAAGUCAUUAUCCAAAUUCAAAUUCGAGACAUUAAUUUAACAGAAAUCGCAAAUUAAUCGAAAUUGAAUUCAAGUAAUAUCGCAAGGAACUUAUUCAAUUAAUUGCUCAUACCUAGUGUAACCUAUUGUAUCUUAAUUGACUUUGAAUUGAUGUCACGACUCUUAUGCCAAAAAUGAAUCGAGGUUUAAUGGUAAAAUUGAACCUUAAUUCGCGAAAUUAAAUUUGAGUCUCAAAUGGAUCAACUUGAAUUUCUUUAGUUUAUUAGCUUGGUUUUCCUAUAUUCAAGAAGGUUGAAUUCCUCUAAUUGAAAAGUUCCCAAAUGAAUCUCCUAAGAUGGACCCCGGAUUCGGACUUGUCUCAAGAAAAUGAGCACAAUGAAAAUGUUCAUUCACAAAUCAUAAAAAUUGAUUUGGACUCCUUAAUUAGGGCAUUUUAACAAGACCGUUCCCGAAACUGAAUGAACGGGUGAAUGAGUAAUUAUCCUUAAAUCAAAUGUUGUAAAAGGAACUAGGUCUAAUUUUGACUAGAACAAAACUAAUUUUAUUUCUAGCUGAAUUUGACUCUAAAGUCAAAUUGAAACUAAAAUGGAAAAUUUUUGUGGAUUUUUUAAUUUUCCAAUUUUUUUGGUCGAAAAUUUGACCAAAAAAUCAACUAUGUGAGUGACUUUUUCUGAAAUGUUGAUUUUGGGUUAAAUCUUUGAAAUUUCUGAAAAUUAACUUGGCUAGAGUGAAAUUAGAAUCAUUUACAAUCUUUUUAUGUAAAAAGCUAACUCUUGAUUCGAGAUUGACUUUUGAUCAAUGGAUUAACCAAAAAGUUAACAUAAAAGUCAACCGUUUAACUUUUGGGGUUUUCGAUGGAAGUGAAUAGGAAAUUAUUUGAAAAUGACAAGGCAAAAGAAAGAAAUGGAAAAUGACUUCUUUUUUUGUUAAAGAAAUAUCCGUCAACACAUCAUCCCAUGCUAGAGCGAAUUAGUAAAGAUAGCAGUUCGUAAGACAAAAUUAAAAUCCCAAGAUUCCCUACAAGCAUUUCAUCAAGAUCUCACAUAAAUUCCAAUGCAGCACGACCAAAUUCCAGGAUCAACGAAAAAAUGAUCCCCGAAUGAAACUUUCACUAACGGCAAUGGCUCCAUUUGCUUUGGACCAAGCAGUUGAAGGUCUCUGGCACAAAUAAAACUGGUGUGGUUCUUCUCCUUUGUGGAGAAAUGUGGUUCAAUUUUUGUAUCCUUUAGUGCACGUUAAAAUCUGAAGAAUAGAAACAAUAAAGCCAUCUUUACUGGUCAUUGGCCAGAUCAGUAUCUGAAUAGAAAUAAAUGGGUUUAUUAUAGCACUAGGAAAAGGUAUAGCUUAUCUUCUACUGGGGUUUUUCUGAGAGGAAGAUUCGGAUACAUCCAGCGCCUUGCUGUUAUUAAACUAAACUAACCGGUCACUUAGUUAAGAGGCCAUUUGAUUACGUUUACAACCACUAAAUGUCUGUUCUUAAACAACAACGUACAAACUUCGAAAACGGUGUAGUGCGACAUUAUAUCUAUCCACGUAUUUGUCUACACUACAUGUCACCCUGAUCUGUAACUUUUAGUUUGCCUUGCGCAAGAUGACCUGAACACCAUAUCGUGGCUGGAGGGUGAUGACAUUAGAAGGAGCAUGCGCAUAAGAUGGAGAGAGCUCAAACGUGAACUGCUGAAGAAUCAUGGCGAGCGCCAUCUUUGCCUCUAUCAAAGCGAAGUUUUGGCCGAUGCAUAUACGAGGGCCCCAUCCGAACGGAAAAAAGGAGACUUGGUUUUUGGUGGCCUUGGACACUCCCUCGGCAAACCUCUCUGGCUUGAACUCCUCGGCAUCCUCGCCCCAAAGUUCUUUAUCAUGGUGGAUGAGGAGUGUCGGCAUUGAGAGCUGGACUCCCGUGGGUAUGGUCAGCUUCCCGAGUUUUGUUUCCUUAAGAACCUCCCGAACCAGAUCAGUCGCCGGUGGAUAUAGCCUCAACACCUCAUUUAAGAUCAUUGUGACCUGAUCGCGACAAAUCCUUAGAAGAAUUCAUAUGGUAGAGAUGCGCAUGUAGGAGCAUCUAUGAACGAUCACGAUGCUGGAAUGAUAUCAAUAUCCUCGAAGAGAUGGAAAUAUAUUGUAAUUUAUCCAGAAAAAGGGGCUGGAGGCUAUUGUCCAAAAAAUCAGGUUCUUGUGUCGAGAGGAAAUCCAAGUUCAAUUCAAGUGUGCAAAGAAAUUGUCCUGUCACUUCAUUGUCGUGUUCAUCUUCAUAGGAUAACAUUAUAUUUAAACAAACAUUUCAUCUACUAAGGAUCAGAAAAUUGCAUCCAGUAAUUAUAGAAUGAUUAUCAUGCGUUAUGUGAUAAAAGAUGCUCGUGAAGAACUCUCCAGAUCGGACCUAUUAUGAGUCCCAUUCUCAACAAAAGAGGAAAAGAGCUUUGAACUUACAAUCUUGAGGUGGCUUAAGCCGUCAGGGUCAGGUUUUCCGCUUCCGAAGAUUCGGAGGACCUCCUCCCUAGCUCGUGCUUGCCAAUCCGAGUGCACACUCAACAAGACCAUGGUCCAAACCAGCAAGACCGAAGUGGUCUCUUGUCCGGCGAAGUAGAAAAGCUUGCACUCCUCGAUCACAUCGUGAAGGCUCAUCCCGACAUUCUCCUUCAUGUUUGACUCCAGCAACAGCCCCAGCAGAUCAUCGCCAGCAGCUUCCCCUUCCCUUAUUGCUUUCUCUCUUCUGCGGAUAAUGUCCAUGAGCAGAGCCCGCACUUCCUUAUCUAUGCUCUUCAUCCUCCUGUUCAUCUUAGUUGGCACAAACCUGCGAAACAUUGAAUCAAAUAGUCAGACUUUUUUUAGAAUGUCAUGAUUGUAAGCCAUAAGCUCAUUUAGAUUCAAUUAACUUAUGGAUGAUGAACGAUUUUACCUCCAGCCAGGGAUGUAGACCGAUUGAAAGGCUAUUAUCGUGAGCUGGGCUUGUUCCCCCUGAAGUUCGCAAAUCCUUUUGCCUUCUUCGAGGCUACUGCCAAACGCUGUUCGAGAGAGCACCUCACGGGUCAAAUUUUGAAGGUCGACCCACGCGUCGAUCUCACAGGAUCUCUCUACUGAUACCAAUUUUUCCCAUCUACCAACCAUCUCAGCGCAACUUGAAUAAAAUGCGGGCAACAUAAGCUGCAAAAGGAACAGACCAACGCAAAGGAGGAUUUAAAAGAGAAAUCCUGAGGCAUCAAUGUGUGUGGUUCAAUUCAGUUGACCAGGGAAUAGUUUCAUGUACCUUCAACUUCUCCAUGUGGAAUGCUGGAUUGAUGAUCUUUCUGUGCCGUACCCAUUUCUCGCCCUCGUGAUUCGCGAGUCCAUCCACGAGCAACUUCACCAGGGGAUUGGAGGCUGGCUUGGGAUAGUCGUUUAUGUUGGAGAAGAUCUCCUUUAGUUGUUCGGGGUUCGUUAUGCGCACUCUCGGUGUUGGUCCUAUCCACAUGAACGAGUCUUUGCCUGCAAUGCACUUGGUAAGAGCCACGGCGCCAAAUGAAAUACAUGGUCUGCUGUCACACGACACGGUCACAUGCAAGUUUUAUUUAAUGUCGCUUUUGUAAGGUAAGAUGUCCUUAUUGUGUGCAUAUCAAAAUAAGCAAUUAUUUAAAGGAAUUGAGAUGCAUUAACAUCUUUGGUCGCAAAAACGCAAAACGGGGAAGUAUGAAUUUCCAAGAUAAAGAAUAGUAUAUUCAAAUGUUCUGAAACUCCAUCAGCAACAGCUUCGACCAAAGGAUGAAACCAAGCGAGUGUUAAUUAAAAGGAAAAUAUAAGUGCCACACGGAGUGAUACUAUGAAGAAGUGCAUAGCAUAUGUUUGGGAAGAUUGAUGCAAGAAAGGGAAGAGACGAGGCUUGAUGUCAUCGGAGAUGGCGAUGGGCUUGGAGUUGGCCUCUGUGAGCAACCGCGAGUUCUCCUUGAGGUCACCGAACAGGAAGGUGUAGGGUUUGCCGGAGAGGCCCUGCUGUCUCAGGAGCCUCUCGAGCCUUUUCGGCCUCACCCACACCCAGUUCACC
Molecule: long non-coding RNA, 40824 nt
Filed under: Eucalyptus grandis
Lineage: Eukaryota; Viridiplantae; Streptophyta; Magnoliopsida; Myrtales; Myrtaceae
Description: long non-coding RNA (EGRA_LNC003631)
Source: RNAcentral